AUUGAACGCUGGCGGCAGGCCUAACACAUGCAAGUCGAGCGGAUGAAGGGAGCUUGCUCCUGGAUUCAGCGGCGGACGGGUGAGUAAUGCCUAGGAAUCUGCCUGGUCGUGGGGGAUAACGUCCGGAAACGGGCGCUAAUACCGCAUACGUCCUGAGGGAGAAAGUGGGGGAUCUUCGGACCUCACGCUAUCAGAUGAGCCUAGGUCGGAUUAGCUAGUUGGUGGGGUAAAGGCCUACCAAGGCGACGGUCCGUAACUGGUCUGAGAGGAUGAUCAGUCACACUGGAACUGAGACACGGUCCAGACUCCUACGGGAGUCAGCAGUGGGGAAUAUUGGACAAUGGGCGAAAGCCUGGUCCAGCCAUGCCGCGUGUGUGAAGAAGGUCUUCGGAUUGUAAAGCACUGUAAGUUGGGAGGAAGGGCAGUAAGUUAAUACCUUGCUGUUUUGACGUUACCAACAGAAUAAGCACCGGCUAACUUCGUG
This 484-nucleotide ribosomal RNA is filed under the name uncultured bacterium. Its description in RNAcentral is "partial 16S ribosomal RNA". It matches the Rfam family "Bacterial small subunit ribosomal RNA", at positions 30 to 507 of the family's 1533-position model. The record is from RNAcentral.